AAGGGAUUAGGGUCCGGCUGGAUAGAGGAUGCGACUCUAGGCCAGAUACCUGGUUGAGAGAAUGCUGUAUUUAUCGUAAACCGAAGAAAAUAUCUCGUUUUGCCUGAGACACUCUCCCUUCAGCUUGUAGCAAGCCAUCCCAGGCCACUGACUAUUUUGAAAUGGCACCGAAACAUCAUCUCUAUCUGUUUCCACUUCCCUGCUUGACAGGGCUGUCGUUACCUGCAGGGGUUUUCUGGCCUGCUUCUGCCGUCAAGUGAGUGGAUUGUCACCAUGACCACGGUCACCACAACAUGAG
This 298-nucleotide long non-coding RNA is filed under the name Cricetulus griseus (Chinese hamster). RNAcentral describes it as "lncRNA (ENSCGRG00000026217.1)". Lineage: Eukaryota; Metazoa; Chordata; Mammalia; Rodentia; Cricetidae. The record is from RNAcentral.